RNAcentral lists this ribosomal RNA (927 nucleotides) under Triticum aestivum (bread wheat). RNAcentral's name for it is "partial small subunit ribosomal RNA". Lineage: Eukaryota; Viridiplantae; Streptophyta; Magnoliopsida; Poales; Poaceae. The record is from RNAcentral.
AUGGAAGGAGGCGUCACGGCCAGCUCAUUUCACAAAAGGGUCGCCGUGGUGACCGGAGCCAACAGAGGGAUCGGGCUGGAGGUAUGCAGGCAGCUCGCGUCCGGUGGCGCGACGGUCGUCCUCACGGCCAGGGACGAGAAGCGGGGCGCCGCGGCGGUCGACGCGCUCCGGGAGCUCGGGCUGCCGGACGUCCUGUUCCAUCAGCUGGACGUCGGCGAGCCGUCGAGCGCCGCUCGCCUGGCCGACUUCGUCAGGGAUAGGUUUGGCAAGCUGGACAUACUGGUCAAUAACGCGGGAGUCUCCGGGGUGAGAAUGGACAUCGGAGACCCGGCAGCUCUUCACCAAGUGCGUACAAGCAUGAGUGCAGUGGAGAGGCUCGAGUGGUUCAACCAGAGGACGACAGAGCCUUUCGAGGAGGCAGAAGAAUGCCUAAGGACAAACUACCAUGGCACCAAAAACGUGACGGAGGCGCUGCUUCCUCUGCUCCUAUCCUCCUCUGAUGCAAGGGUUGUCAACGUCUCCUCUUCUUAUGGGUUACUAAGGUUUUUCAGCAGAGAGGAGCUUAAACACGAGCUUGACGACAUCGACAACCUGUCCACGGAGAGGUUGGACGAACUGUCAGAACUGUUUCUCAAGGACUUCAAGAAUGGUCGGCUGGAUCACCAUGGAUGGCCAGUUGCAGGGUUCUCAGCCUACAAAGUGUCCAAGGCCCUGAUCAAUGCUUACACAAGAGUUCUUGCCAAGAAGCACACCUCGAUGCGCGUCAAUUGUUUAGAUCCUGGCUAUGUUAAGACAGACAUCAAUUUCCACACCGGGGUUCUGACCGUGGAGGAAGGCGCAAGAGGCGCUAUGAUGCUGGCACACUUGCCCAAGGAAGGGCCGACGGGAUCCUACUUCAAUGGCACAGAACAAGCACCCUUCGUGUAG